This is a long non-coding RNA of Apus apus (common swift), 8631 nucleotides long. RefSeq lists it as uncharacterized. The transcript is spliced from 3 exons. NCBI's taxonomy places the organism in Eukaryota, Metazoa, Chordata, Aves, Apodiformes, Apodidae. The record is from RefSeq and is a predicted model, not a curated record.
UAUAGCCAGUGCUUUUGAAAGGCCUUAUCUGACUGAAGUUGGCAGAAACAGGCACAGGCCAUGGACAUUGAAAAUAAAAGGCCAGAGCUGCAUGAAACAGCAGAAUCAUAUUACUAAGUUUGUAAUUUAAUAACAAUACCUACGCCUCUGUAGUCUUAAAACGCUCUCACAUUUUGUAAUUAUUCUGAAAUUAAGGCCUACCCACAUAUUAAAAGAAAUUCAAAGUAAAUCAGAAAGUUUAGGAUCAAAUUCCAUUCCUAAUUACUGUAAUUAACAAACAAGUCCCCGCAAUUUAAGGACUGGUUUGCUCAGUUUUUGUUUUGUUUUGUUUUUUACAUAGACCCCUUUUAUCUAAGUUAAAAACUUUUCAAUAAUCUCUUUUUACAUGAAAAUAUGCAUUCCUGUUCAAAUUGUUUUAAUAUGUUAUAAAAAUGAGGUUCCCAGACUUAGACAAACAAGAUAAUUCUUUUUCUUUUUAUUGUCCCCCUUUCUCUGAAGGCAAAAAAAAUAUUUAGAAGCUGCUCAUCCCUCAAACAAGCACAAAUGCGUAUUUCCACAUUCAUAUCAACAGUGACCGAUACUAAAUAUUUCCAUCUAAUAUCAGGAGAAAACUUUUGUUUUCAUUGCUUCAGUUAUAUGUGUCAGGGAGUUAAUUUAACUAAAAGAGGAAGGAUGUGUGAUGCAUACUAUAGAACCCUGAAGCAGCCUGGCUGUCAACUCUUGAGGGUGCUAUUCUUCCAUCUCAAGGCAGAUCUCACUGUGUAGCAGCUAGGGGAGGAAGGGAGAACUACUCCACAACUCAAACAGAACCAAACAUCACUUAUACCAAGUCAGCUGUGCUGGUUUCUACUAGUAGUGAAGGAAACUAACUAUCUGGUUUAUAUAAGCGAAUUUUGUGACUCUUCAGAGUUUUUAAUUGCACUGGAAUGCUGAAGUCUUGUCAUUUCACCCGAAUUCAGCUCCUGUGCUGUUCUCAGGCCUUUGACUCCCAUGGGCUGCAAAAUGGGUUACCUGGCUACAGGAUCCAGGCUGGCUCUAAAGGGUGUGUGGGAAGCACAGCACUCUUGCUUUCUGACCCACCAGCUCAGAAGUAUGAACAGAACAUGGCAUGUGGCAGCCCUGUUAAGAAUCAGAGUGCUAUUACACAUUUAUUUUACUACCUUGUUAAACUACAAUAUUUCAUUGCUGCUGACAAGGCUCCAGAAUGUCAUGUCUGCAUGCAAAACUUCCUGGGGUGACUGCCAGCACAGCCCAACCUCUCCUCUCUCCCACCUGCAGCAAGGGUUGGGGGGGAAAGGAAACAGAUUUGGCUGGGGCAGGAGUGGGCACUGUGGAGCAGAAAGGACACUACGGCUGUUUUGGAUGUGACAAGGGGACAUUAUCCUCAGCUGGGUGUAGUGCUGUGCCCCAAGUGCACCAGGGGAGGAGGCGGGGAUGGAUCAGCAAUAGUUGCCUAUGCGAAUAAAGAGCUGGCAAUCUAACAUCUUACUUCUUAUGGUGUAAUGAAACACAAAUUUCUCCCCUCUCCUGUGUUUUCUGCCCCAGGGAGGGGAAACAUGAUAGUGCACAUAAAAGCUGCCACACAUGACAAUUUUCAAAGGAAAGGUCUUUACGUGCCAAAGCCUUGGAGGGCAGUAGGUAGAUCAGCAUGGUAUGACAAGUCAACAGGACCUUCCCUUUAGCUGGGCAAGGCACCCGGUGACUGAUUACCAUUUUUGAUGUGCAGUUUGGUCCAAUGACAGAUGAUUUAAUUAUCAUUACAUCUUUUCUCCUUUGGAGAAACACUGUUUACAACUCCAAGGUGAACCAACUCAAAUCCAUGCUAUCUUCUUCUUCCCUUUUUUGUAACACUCCUCUUGUCUUCAGGGUCUUUAUGACCAUAUCCUCAACCCUCCCUGUCCUUGUGCUCUACUGACUUCUGCUUCCUCUCCUGAGAGCUCAAUGCUUUGCAAGUACAAAGGCAGCUGCCUGGGGUCAUCUUUUCACUUCCAUUUGUCUGGUUACUGCUCACAUCCAUUCAAACAGCGCUCAUAACCCAAUCCAUUCCCAACCUGUCUCCUGUAAUCAUGUACAAUCAGUCUGUGAAGUUGUAAGUGGUUUAUCCUUUCACAGUUUUUGUAUCCUUAAUGAGCCAUUACAUAAAUAGUUUCUUUUUUAUAGUUAGGACCAUAUUCAUGGUGCUCAGAAUAUUCUGAAUCCUUUUCAGAUACACGAUUAAGUUCUGUUACAAAGACCACAGCUGAAAUACCACAAAAAAAGGAUGUGAUAGUAUUGGUCCCCACCUCUCACUAUACUGUUUUCAUCUGCAAUAAUAGGCCAUGACCUUUGCCUGAAGACUUCCCUGGAUUAUGUUUACAGUUCUCCUGCUGGUAUGCAUCAAUUAUCCCUUUCCUGAAUAUUUGGCCUAUCCACAAAUCAUCCAUGGUCUCUCUACACUUUUAACUCAGACUAAACAAUAACCUCCCUUCUUUCACAUCUGAAUUUACUUUCCAAUUUUCUGUCUACCUUACAAACUUCAUGGUUUCUCUCAUCAUGAAUAGCUCAGGAUCUUUAAUUCAUUCAUGCUCACAAUCUCUGGGAGGUGGAGCACUGUUGUUACUCUCUAUUUCACAGCUAGAUAUUGGCCAUAUAAGAAAUAGGGAGCAAAGCUCAGAAUUUAAUCUCUCCUACGUUCUGAGCUAAUAGCACAACCAGUGAGCAUGCAGAAGUUUGAUUACUGCUUCCCUGCAAAUGAAACACCUUAUUUUUCAUACACUUCCUUGAUAUUUUUAACUAUUUUUAAUUAAAAAGUUCAAUUACCUUCUAUCUUGAAAUAAAUUCUGAAGUGAAUAGUAAUAGGGUAGUUAUGAUACUCCAAACUCAGUUCCCAACUCUGCUUUUAGGAGAAAAGUGUUAUCAAAAUACUCUCCAAAGACUGUAACACUUAGAAUAUGGCUGGCUGCUUCUCAUGGCAUCAUCCAAGAUGUAAUCCAAAACUGGAGGUUUAAGCUCCUUGUAAAUCCAGGAAACUGCAACAUGGCUUCUACCUGUGUUUGCACUCAGGUCACACCAACUUCAGGCAUGUAAUUUAGAUGCUCUCAAAGUGCCUAAAUGAGCUAUGCAGGGAACUCAGGCUCACAAAUCUCAAUGUCCUAAGCUGCACCUAAAACUAGAUACUGAAAUAACAGGGUCUCAAUAAGUCAUCAUGCAUGAAGUCAGCUGGACUGCACACCUGGGUUAGCAUCACUAUUCAACAAAAUCCUACUAGUUAGAGCAAUAGCAUCUCCUCACUUGUAUGAGCAUCACUCUGAUACUCAAAGUGUACUAUUAUUAUCAGCUCCUCUCAAAAAUACUGAUUUUCAAUACUAACUAAAGUAGUGGCUAAGGCUGAGCACAUGUAUUAUAUUGGUGACUAUUCCAGCACACAUCUAUGUAGACACUGCAGUGUAACACUGAGCUCCACAAGAGUAGAAUACCCUUGUUUGGCUGUCAUACACAUGUUCUGACUUGGCACUAAUCCCUUGAAAAUAUUCACUUAGUCAUCCUGUAACAUUAUUCACAUCUGUUCUUUUAAUGCAAAAGGUAGUUUAUUGGGGUAAGUGUAACUUGGCAACGUGUAAGGAGACCACGUAUAGCCAAUAGCAAAUAAUCUGAUUUUCAGAAGGUACUUUUACAAAGGUGGGCUAAAACAUUUUGAAAAGACUACUUAAGGAAUGAGGAACCUUGCCACUGACCUAGAUGUUACUUUUUGCUGACUUCAAAAAACUUUGAAAAAGAAGAUGCUGCAGUGUGGCUCAGACUUCAUCACUCUUUCUAAGCAGUUUUUGUUUGCACUGUAGACAUUUUCCUAAGACUAUCUGCAAAAAUAAGACAAAAAUAUUUAUAUUAUGGAAAUACCAGAAUAUGUUAGGCACUUUCCAGAAGUAUAGAAAAAUACCCUUUGCCACAAAAACAAUUUAGAAUCAGAAGAAAAAGGUAUGAAAAGUGAGUGCGAUGGGACUGGAAAGGAAGAGGAAGACCAGCUUGUAAAAACAGAGUCCUGCCAUUUCUUAAUUAUGUAUUUUAGUACAUGAAACAUCCUGCCACAAAACUCAGUCCCUGACAUGGGCUAAGUUCCAUGUUUUUAUUCUCUCUAAAUGAACUUUAUUCCCCUUCAGAGCAGAAUUUUACAAGGAUCAAAAUUAACUAAAGAGCAAAAAAUGUGAUAAAAAGUACAAUGCAGAUGUUAAAGCCUCAUGCUGUUGUUCCACAGAUGAACACAUUGAUAAAUCUAUGGCAGGCUUCAGCAGGAUAAGAACUGCAUGAGGCCUCUCAGAGAACUCAAGGAUCUGCUGGGCCUUUUACACUUCUCUUACCUUGAAGCUAUUGUGGGAUUCACAAGUCAGACAAUGGGACAGCCUCACUAUGCUGUAGCUGAUGGUUCUUGAUUCCAGCCUGCAAAGAUUCGAUGCUCAAAGGUUCUAUGGAAUUAGGGGCUAAGACCUGGAAAUAUGAAGGAGGCAGAAAAAACAGUUAACUCACCAAAUGUGGAGAAUCACUUUCUGGAAGGAGGAUGGCACUGUUGAGAUAAGUACUUCUCUUCCUUUCUGUUGGGGACAAGAGAUAAAGUGCUUGCCUGACAGAAGUAUCACUGUCAUUGAUUAUCUAGCAAAAAAUCCUCUAGAUGUAAUAGUUCAGUGACAGACAUGUUGGAAUUACCAGUAGGCUUUCUCAAGUUUUCCUCCCGCGUAUUUUAUGUGAUCCAGGCAUAAAUCACUCGUUUUCUAUUCGUGUCUGUCAAAAGAAGUGGGGCAGAGUAAACAAUCAGGUGGACUAUCCCCUGCCAGCUGACAAGCUCUCAGAUUCUUUCUUCUUUUCAAGUGCUAUUCAUGGAAGGGUUUAUGGUAUUUCAGAGGUCAUAUAGGUUGCAGGGAAUAAUAAAGCUAUUGAUAAGAAAGAAGUUUGUGUCGUCAUACUCCCAACACCAUGAGACUGAAGAAGAAACAGAACUAUGCCUCUCCAAUUUCAUUGCUUUUCUGGAAGGGUAUUUACUUUAGACUUCUGUUCUGAAGAACCAUUUUGAAGUCUGGGUAAAAUUAAUAAAAUUUAUCCUUAAAACUAUUUACUCUUCUUGAUAUCAUAUGAAUAAGGCAAAGUUCUUCACUAGAGUAUAGUCCGUGACAAAUAGUGUCCUAGUAAUUAUGGGUGUGGAUUUUCAUGCAGUGACUGAUGAUGCCUUGGAAAAGAGCCAUGGCACUGUGCAUUCAUAAACUAAGCUAUCUAAAUCCUUGCAGACCUCAUUUAUGCUUUUGGGAAUAUAGGACAGGUGUGGCAGUUACUAAACCUGGAUACUUGAGAAUUCACCUCUUAUUCCCAGGUGUGGGCCAUUAAUUCUAGCUCAGACUUGUCCAGCUCUAACAAGUCUCUUUUGAACCUGAUUUUAUAUGUGCACAUAUACACACAGGGUACAUAGCAUUUUCCUUUCAAUCCAUUUAUCUACUUUGUUUUUCCUCAUCUGUAGCUAUGCAGCCUCACCUUACAUUUUACACACACAGCAGCAAACUCCUGAUCAGUGAGUCUACAAAUCUGUCACAUUCUGUAGAUACCAGAAGCCUUGCAGUUUGAAUUGUUUAGUACAAUUACUGAAGAGGUUUGGGUAAAAUUCAAGCCCAAGCCCCAGUGCAAUUCACAACAAUGGCUAUACCAAUUUUAAUUGGAUCACUAAACAUCAGAACAAAGCCAGAGACCCCUCAAACACAAACAUAGGUUGAUAAAAACUGUAAAAUUCUGUAAGAAAACACCUGUAAAUGAAUGUGGUGCUCUUUCUUUUUGCUAGAUGCUCUUCCAGAAAUCUGAACACUUUGGGGUAAUGUGGCACACCUCUAACCUCCUUCCACAUCGGGUAAUCCUCAGGGAAACACUUGAUAUUUUCAAAUACCUACAAGAAAGCUUCUAAUGGCAUAUUCUGAUGUUUCUAUAGAAUAAAGAAUUGUCAAGAUGACAAAGGAUUACUUGGGGUAUGAGAUGGCCUUCUAGCUCCAAACCCCUCAAGAGGCCACUGGUGCAGUGGUAUGCUUCUCAGCUCAAAGUUCCAUCUUGUGAAACGAAACAUUGACACAAGAGAUCCUGAGCUACUUUGGCUUAAAGCACAAAUUCCUGAUAGCAUGAGGGAUAAGCAUAGGCUGAGUUUCACUAAAAAAUAGACUGAUCAUCAACAAGUAUCUUGUAGCUAUGAAAGAGGAGCCUGCCUCUGUGUGACCGUUAAAAGAAUCCAGCCUGCUAACCAGAACAACAUGAAAAAAAAAGUGAAACCUGCAAAAAAUGGGCACACCUUUACCUAUGCAGCUGGCUAAUUCUAAAGGUGCUAGCUAAAAGCCUCUGAUUAAAAAUGUAACUUCCUGAUAACAGCAUGAGAUGAAAAUACAUCAGUUAAGGAACUAAAUCUCAGAGCAAAACUAAUGCAGAUUCUACCUAGAUAAAACCAGUCCAUCCCGCAUGAAGUCUCAAUCCCCCACAUAAAAGAGGAAAUGGGAACAGCUGUAGCUGGAGAGAAGAGUGGCAUGUAACACCUAGGGAAGUGACAGCUUGGGCUUCUAGUAAAAGCAAUCAGUGAUACACUAUUUUUCUCAGACACUGUAAGAUUUCUUUGUUGGCCUGAUUAAUUUUGCUAUCACCCAAAAGUGUGCUGAAGAUGUGGGGAGGGAAUGACUGUUUUUUUAUUUGUUGUUUUGUUUGGGUUUUUUUGGUCUUCCUCCAUUUGAGAAACUUUCCUUUUACUCUGCCCAUGUAAAUGAGCAACCCUAGGUAUCUGAAUAACUUGAACAUUUUGUUAACUGCUAUUAAGGAAAAUAGUACUGGAGGAUGAAGAACUACAAACUGGAAAUGCUUAGUUGCAAGACUUCUUAGCUGCACAGAGAGAAAGAAAAAAGGCAUUGGAUUUUUCCUGUAAAUGAACUCCAGGCAAUGCUACAAUAAAACGAAUGUUUGCUAUUAGAACAGGAUGGCUCCUUUCUUUACUUAGUGUUUUCUAGAACAAAAGUACUGCAGCUUUCCAAGGCUGUAGUGAGUCAGUGCUAGAAUUAGAAGUACAAUCCUGACACAGUGGUCACCACUAAGCAAUGUUUCCUCUCCUUUCUCUUCACCUAUUCAAAACGGCCACCUAUGACAAAUCAUCUAUUAAUAGACAAGUUCAUAUAAUUUAAAUUAUCAAUCUGGAUUGAAAAACCACUCAGAAAUUCUGUACUUAACAAGUGUAAGGUUUUUAAAACAAAGAUGUAUUGCUAAUACUUUUGGUUCUGCAUUUCAUUUUUUGAAAUAUAACCAGAUUCCUGAUAAAAGAAACUCAGCACCCCUUCUGCUUUCUGAAGCAUUUAUAACCUCAGCUCUGCAAAACUUGGAUUUCUAACAAUGGUCUUGGUGCAGGUCAGUGCUCAAUGAGAAGAGUAAUCCUUGGAAUACCAAAAUGUAAGGGUUCUUAAGAGAAGGGAGGUUUGCAAUAAUAAGAUUAGGGAAAACCUCUAUUACAGACUUUGUAUAUCUGUUAUAUUCUUGAAUGAAUGACAUCUGCUUGGUGAUUAUAUGGAAUGCAAUUUCUGCCCAGUUUUGAACAAAUCUAGGGAAUAGGGGUAACACUUACCAAGAAAAGCUUUUAUUUAAUUAUAAUUCAGCCCAUCUGCCCUGAAAUACAUGAACACACUUUACAUCACAGCCUGGAACAGUGUGUUUUUACCUAAGGGGUCUGUUUAUUUCCACUUGUAAAUAAUAUAAACAAAUAUUUUUAUUUUGCUGUCUUCUAACUCACUAGAAUAGAAAUUACUGACUUCUCAUCUAAAAUAAUUCAAAGGCAUGGAUGUUAGACAAGACAGAAAAACUACACAAGCACCAUGAUGUGUGAAAAGUAAACCUUCAUAGAAAGGUGCAAGUCUGAAGUAAAAAAAAUUCCCCCAUGAGGGAAAUGGAGGCAAAUAAUUGCAUGCUUACAGAAAGACUGUAUUUUUUAAAGUGUUGGUUGUAGUCCAGAGUAUUUGUAGGGUUUUUUAGGACAAAGAAAUAAUUGCCCUUGAAGACAGAAGUAGCAAUCAUAAACACUGGAGUCAGACACAACAGAAAUGAGACUGUGGCAAAACAGUUUUUACACUGUAGAGUGGAAGGCUGCAGAGAAAUUAUUAAAUUUUUUUUAAGUGUUAAGGGAACAUACUUGGUGGGUAAUGAACAGGGGUAAUGAAUCCCAACAGGUUUCUCUCUCCUUUACACGUUCUGCUUCCACUUCCCACAGAUAGUUCCUAUUUCCUCAAUAGCCUUUCUGCUUCUAACCAUCAUUUGAUGCAGGUUACUUGAAAAUGCUGAAUACCUGUGCAAUUUUUUUCAAGGACUAAAGUCUUGAAAGAAUCAUGAAACUGAAUUUUGCAGGUGAAAAUGAGAUCCUAUGUCAAUAUUAUCUAUAGUUGUACAGAUAGACUGUUGCUAUAGGAACACAUCCAGACUCAGAGUGAAAAGGACUCCAUCCCAACAGGGACCUGCCUGCUGGCAACACACGACUCCAGAGCUCAUGUAACUUGUAAAUAAGCAGAUAGAAAACAUUCCCCAAGCAGAUCUAUAUGCUAAACCGGAGUAGCAUGCAAAGGGGUACUUUUUACCUCUGCACUUAAAUAAAAACUACUUUUUCUAUACGUA